UAGGGAAUCUUCCACAAUGGACGCAAGUCUGAUGGAGCAACGCCGCGUGAGUGAAGAAGGUUUUCGGACCGUAAAGCUCUGUUGUUGGUGAAGAAGGAUAGAGGUAGUAACUGGCCUUUAUUUGACGGUAAUCAACCAGAAAGUCACGGCUAACUACGUGCCAGCAGCCGCGGUAAUACGUAGGUGGCAAGCGUUGUCCGGAUUUAUUGGGCGUAAAGCGAGCGCAGGCGGAAGAAUAAGUCUGAUGUGAAAGCCCUCGGCUUAACCGAGGAAUUGCAUCGGAAACUGUUUUUCUUGAGUGCAGAAGAGGAGAGUAGAACUCCAUGUGUAGCGGUGGAAUGCGUAGAUAUAUGGAAGAAUACCAGUGGCGAAGGCGGCUCUCUGGUCUGCAACUGACGCUGAGGCUCGAAAGCAUGGGUAGCGAACAGGAUUAGAUACCCUGGUAGUCCAUGCCGUAAACGAUGAGUGCUAAGUGUUGGGAGGCUUCCGCCUCUCAGUGCUGCAGCUAACGCAUUAAGCACUCCGCCUGGGGGAGUACGACCGCAAGGUUGAAAC
This 555-nucleotide ribosomal RNA is filed under the name uncultured bacterium. RNAcentral describes it as "partial 16S ribosomal RNA". It matches the Rfam family "Bacterial small subunit ribosomal RNA", at positions 355 to 900 of the family's 1533-position model. The record is from RNAcentral.